GAGAGAGGCUCGCUAGCAACGAAAACUGCUAAUUUUCGCAACUUUGGUUGAACCCCAAAGCUCACUCG
RNAcentral lists this transfer RNA (68 nucleotides) under Aulorhynchus flavidus (tube-snout). RNAcentral's name for it is "tRNA-Ser (AGY)". The record is from RNAcentral. Lineage: Eukaryota; Metazoa; Chordata; Actinopteri; Perciformes; Aulorhynchidae.